This 232-nucleotide unclassified non-coding RNA is filed under the name Hevea brasiliensis (rubber tree). The record is from RNAcentral. Lineage: Eukaryota; Viridiplantae; Streptophyta; Magnoliopsida; Malpighiales; Euphorbiaceae.
AUAUAAUUAAAGCACAUAUUUCAUUGAGAAGCUGGUACAUAUAUUCUUAAAUGUGCAAAAUCAUUGUUUAACAAAAUAAAAAAUACAAGUAUUAAGCCCAGAUGAACCACUUUAAACAGACAAUCUCAACCAAAAUCAAGCAACCGAUGACUAUUAUGAAUUUAUAAAAUAGAAUAAACAACUUGACUUACUAGGCUCUAUUCUAUUCAGAAGCGAAAAAAAAAAAAAAAGA